This 72-nucleotide transfer RNA is filed under the name Dipodomys ordii (Ord's kangaroo rat). It matches the Rfam family "tRNA". Rfam says of the family: Transfer RNA (tRNA) molecules are approximately 80 nucleotides in length. Lineage: Eukaryota; Metazoa; Chordata; Mammalia; Rodentia; Heteromyidae. The record is from Rfam by way of RNAcentral.
GUGAAUAUGGUUCAGUGGUAGAGUGCUUGCCUAGUAUGCAUGAAGUCCUGGGUUCAAUUCCUCAGUACCACA